CACGUAGGGUGCAAGCGUUGUCCGGAAUCAUUGGGCGUAAAGAGCUCGUAGGCGGCUUAGUAAGUCGGGUGUGAAAACCCCAGGCUCAACCUGGGGACGCCACCCGAUACUGCCGUGACUCGAGUCCGGUAGGGGAGUGUGGAAUUCCCGGUGUAGCGGUGAAAUGCGCAGAGAUCGGGAGGAACACCCGUAGCGAAGGCGGCACUCUGGGCCGGUACUGACGCUGAGGAGCGAAAGCGUGGGGAGCGAACAGG
RNAcentral lists this ribosomal RNA (254 nucleotides) under uncultured bacterium. Its description in RNAcentral is "partial 16S ribosomal RNA". It matches the Rfam family "Bacterial small subunit ribosomal RNA", at positions 524 to 776 of the family's 1533-position model. The record is from RNAcentral.